This 460-nucleotide ribosomal RNA is filed under the name uncultured bacterium. RNAcentral's name for it is "partial 16S ribosomal RNA". It matches the Rfam family "Bacterial small subunit ribosomal RNA", at positions 338 to 795 of the family's 1533-position model. The record is from RNAcentral.
CCUACGGGGGGCAGCAGUGAGGAAUAUUGGUCAAUGGACGGAAGCCUGAACCAGCCAAGUCGCGUGAGGGAAUAAGGCCCUACGGGUCGUAAACUUCUUUUAUAAAAGGAUAAAGUGAGACACGUGUGCCUUUUUGUAUGUACUUUAUGAAUAAGGAUCGGCUAACUCCGUGCCAGCAGCCGCGGUAAUACGGAGGAUCCGAGCGUUAUCCGGAUUUAUUGGGUUUAAAGGGAGCGUAGGUGGGUUGUUAAGUCAGUUGUGAAAGUUUGCGGCUCAACCGGAAAAUUGCAAUUGAUACUGGCAGUCUUGAGUGCAGUUGAGGUAGGCGGAAUGUGUGGUGUAGCGGUGAAAUGCUUAGAUAUCACGCAGAACACCGAUUGCGAAGGCAGCUUACUAAACUGCCACUGACAUUGAGGCUCGAAAGUGUGGGUAUCAAACAGGAUUAGAUACCCCUGUAGUC